RNAcentral lists this long non-coding RNA (1727 nucleotides) under Homo sapiens (human). RNAcentral's name for it is "HSALNT0380598". Lineage: Eukaryota; Metazoa; Chordata; Mammalia; Primates; Hominidae. The record is from RNAcentral.
AGUUUGAACUAGAUAAGCACUCACAGGAUUCAUUUGAAGGCUUAGAGAUAAUGCUGUGCUGGAUUAGUCUUAGUCUUCACAAAGAGGAACCUCAGAGGGUCACUAAAGUCUUCUAUCAAUGUCUGUAUUUUUGCCUCUGUGUACCAAGUGCACCCAAGUCCAUUCAUUGCCAGCUGAUGAGAGUCUGCAGGCCUGUUUGCUAUUUCGGCUAAUCAGGGAACAGUUCACAAAAACUCAGUUCUUCUUCUAAGUUUCUGGCCUCUCCUUCUGCUGUUGUGGAGACAGUUUUUGCUGUGAUGAGGCACAGAUCAUACAAUCUUUGAGAGUAAAAGGAUGGAUCAAGACCACAGGAAAGAAGGGAUGAAGCUGUGGAGAGUGAGGAUGAGGAACAUUGCAGAUGACUGGAGGCCAGCUCCCUGACCUUCCCCUACUGCCACUGCUGCAGGCCCUGGUCAGGGGAAGUAAAACUGACACUAGCUGUUUAUCAUGCUUUAAGACCAGAAAGUAAAAUGAAAACCAUUACCACCUCUCAGGAUGCAAGAAGGCACAAGAAAGGACUAAACCAGUUGAAGAUGUUAUCUCAAUGGAAGAAGGAAUCCUAAUUAAAUUGAAGUCUUAACAAAAAGACGGUCUAUUUCACAAGACUGAUAGAGACAUAUACUUGAUGAGUCAACUUGGUCUUUUCAAGGCUUUACUCUGGCUUCUCUUCUAUUUAUGUGUACGAUUAGAAGGAUAAACAGCCUAUAAGAGCUUGCUAUCUACCAAAUCCAACCAUGCAGUCUUAAAAAUUACUUCUGGGUUUACAGAUAAUUCUUGUAUCAAAUAAGUUGAUAUGAGGCACCAAGAAUUAGUAGGAUUGGACUAGAGUCAAACCCACUGCACUUAUCAAGGCUUUACCAGACCCUACUGUGUCCUUUAUGUGUUGAAGUCUAAGGAUAUCUAGAAACAUAUGGCAUGAUCACUGCCCUCAGGGAGCUGACAGCAUUGUAUGCUAGCAAGAGGCAAAAACAACAAAAGAGAAUGUAACUUAUAACUGACUGAAAGACCAAUGUGUCAUUUUGGAAGCAGAGAAGCCUGAUUUUGGGCAAACUUUUUAAUGAGAACUUGAGUUUUCGUAUCUGUAAGGUGAAAAUAAGACGAUCAACUUAUGGCUGAAAUGGCAAAGAUACAUUUCCUAUGAGACGGCCUUGUAUAUAAUAAGCAUUCAACACAUAAGAACAGUGAUGAUAAUGCUAAUAAUGAUAUAAUGAUGCCCCUAAGUGACAGAUAGAAAAUAAUUGGACUAUUAGGGAUAUCUCUACAAGCUGGAGUGGUUGAGCAAGGCACCUUAGGGUUAAUGGGAUCAGAACCCAGUGGUUCUGGGCCCUGAAGUAUGAACAAAGAUGCGUUUGGCAUUUACCAACAGUGAACAAGCACGAGCAGUGGAAUGCAAAAAUGUGUGUGCAUCAAAUGAACAUGAAAAUCUUCACCCAGGUCACCUGCCAGAAUCAAACUAAGGUUCCUGGUAUUUAAUGGAAAGGUUAAAAGAAGUUUAUAGCUUUAAUGCCUGUGGCACACUGAUUACUUUUCAAGAUUUUGAGGAUUAAAGCCUAUGAGAGUCUUUUGAGCAAGUUUGAACAGUGGUGUUGGGAAGCAUGAAUGGCAGGUGGCUGGUCUACAGAAUCUCAUCCAGGUUCAAGCUUUUGGACAUGAUGUUAUCAACACCCCACUCAGAUUUCAUGUUUCAU